This is an RNA transcript of Mustela erminea (ermine), 3334 nucleotides long. It is a transcript of the gene named BEN domain containing 5, with no coding region annotated. NCBI's taxonomy places the organism in Eukaryota, Metazoa, Chordata, Mammalia, Carnivora, Mustelidae. The transcript is spliced from 8 exons. The record is from RefSeq and is a predicted model, not a curated record.
AGGCGAGAGCAGCCGAUUGGCAGAGCGGUGCUUUCAGGAACAAUAACAGUGGGGGGAGCCCGGGUCCCGGGGAGCCGCCCCCGCCCCCCGGCCCGGCCGCGCGGCUCGCGCCCCCCGCCGGGUCCCCACCUCCGCGCCCGCCCCGCGGGCUGACCGGCCCGACCGGGGCCCGCCCCCGGCGCCCACCAUGUACGCCUUUGUGCGGUUCCUGGAGGACAACGUCUGCUACGCGCUGCCAGUGUCGUGCGUGCGCGACUUCAGCCCCCGCUCGCGGCUGGAUUUUGACAACCAGAAGGUGUACGCCGUGUACCGGGGUCCGGAGGAGCUGGGCGCCGGGCCCGAGAGCCCCCCGCGCGCCCCCCGCGACUGGGGCGCGCUGCUGCUCCACAAGGCCCAGAUCCUGGCGCUGGCAGAAGACAAAUCUGAUCUUGAAAACAGUGUGAUGCAGAAGAAAAUAAAAAUCCCCAAACUUUCUCUCAAUCAUGUAGAAGAAGAUGGGGAGGUUAAAGAUUAUGGGGAUGAAGAUUUACAGCUUAGACACAUCAAGAGACCCGAGGGGCGGAAGCCGAGCGAAGCGGCGCAUAAGAGCAUUGAGGCCGUGGUGGCCCGGCUGGAGAAGCAGAACGGCCUGAGCCUGGGCCACAGCACGUGUCCGGAGGAGGUCUUCGUGGAGGCCUCGCCGGGCAUGGAGGACAUGGACAGUCUGGAGGAUGCCGUCGUGCCCCGGGCUCUGUAUGAGGAGCUGCUGCGCAACUACCAGCAGCAGCAGGAGGAGAUGCGCCACCUCCAGCAGGAGCUGGAGCGGACUCGGAGGCAGCUGGUCCAGCAGGCCAAGAAGCUCAAGGAGUACGGGGCGCUCGUGUCGGAAAUGAAGGAGCUCCGGGACCUCAACCGGAGGCUCCAGGACGUGCUGCUCCUGAGGCUUGGCAGUGGUCCCGCCAUUGACUUGGAAAAAGUAAAGUCAGAAUGUCUCGAGCCCGAGCCGGAGUUACGGAGCACUUUCAGUGAGGAAGCAAAUACGUCGUCCUAUUACCCCGCUCCUGCACCUGUCAUGGACAAGUAUAUCCUAGACAAUGGCAAGGUCCAUCUGGGAAGCGGGAUUUGGGUUGAUGAGGAGAAAUGGCACCAGCUACAAGUAACCCAAGGAGAUUCCAAGUACACAAAGAACUUGGCAGUCAUGAUUUGGGGAACAGAUGUUCUGAAGAACAGAAGCGUCACAGGAGUUGCCACAAAAAAAAAGAAAGAUGCGGUCCCUAAGCCACCCCUCUCGCCUCACAAACUAAGCAUUGUCAGAGUGCUUCUCAGCUUGCGGGCUCUCUCCUGUCCACUCCUGGGGCAGGGUGACGGCAGGUCGAAACAGGAAUCAGCCUAGUGUUGUUCCAGCAUCGAGUGGAUGCUUGGUGUCUCCCAUCUGUAAGGAUCGCCAUCCUUGUUCUGGCUACCCAGUGGCCCACCUAGACAUUUUGAAUGUUCUUUAAACCCCAUUCAGAUGAUGUCCUGUGCAACUGAUUGGGCCCCCAGAGCUAUAGAACAAUCUAUAGGCGGCUCAGCUGUGUGGACAGCGGCCAUCCCACACUCACAGACUUCUGCCCCACCUGCCACACCCCCCACCAUGCCCCCCCAGGUUUUCCUCACUGAGCCACGCCCCUCAUCCCCCCAACCAAGGAAUUUUUAAACCUUCUCUGCUUUUCCUAACAUGAUAGUCCACAUCUCACUCUUUCUCAAAAGAUGGCCAUGCCUCUUCCUUCAUAGAGAAAAGAAAAGGAACUCCCACAGCUCUGAAGUGCAGACUUCACUGUAGACUUAACUGUACCCUCUGUUCUUCUGCCUCAUGGCCCAAAAGAAGAGUUUCCUUCUCCUAUUUGGGUCUGGCCUGUCUCUCCAUCUGGAUCCCAGCCCCGCUGCCUUCCUAAGUACCUCAUUCUUCCAAUUAUGCUCCCGCACUCCUGCUUCCUUCCCAGCAUCAUUUAAAUAGACUUUGACUCUUCAUUUCUCAUGAAGACAAAUAAAACACUCCCUAGAGGCCACUCCUACAACCUAGCUGCUGCCAUGUCUCUCUUUUUCUUUUCACAUCCAGAUCUCUUGAAAGGGUUGUCUACACUCACUGCCUGUGUUCACUUGUAAUGCCCCAGCUGUCUGGUGUCCACUCCCAGCCCUCGACUACGUCUGUUCCUGCCUCGUUUCCCACACACUUCCUCCUUUCCAAGUCCAGGGCAUGUGUUUCACCUCCUCCCCAAACUGUCUGACAUGACCACUCCUUCCUUACAGCGAAACCCUCCCCCAAGCUCCAUUUCCUCCUGCUUCCCUGGCUUCUCAUCCCUCUCGUGGGCUCCUCUUCUGCUGCCCUGGCAUCUGUCCCCACAGCGUCCUCUUUUGCCACCAGCUCCCAGCUGGUCUCACUUUGUGCUGUGUCCAUGGCCCUCUGUGUGCUGAUGGCCCGGGCUGAAAUCCACACUACUCGUCCUGGUGCGCAUCUGCUGACCUGGCCUCUGGGGACCCCUCUGUCCUCCAAUUUCCCACCAUGCUCCAACCAUAGGGGCCUCUUUUCUCUUCCUUCACCGCCUGCCCUGCACACCCUGCCUCCUUCUGGUUCUCCAGCGAGGCCUUCCCCAACAGCCCAGUCUUCAGGAACCUUUCUGCUGCUCUCCCUACAUAAAGUCUGUGCGUAGCAUUUGUUGUUUGUUCCUGUACUGGGUAAUCGUCUUUCCCCCCUGCCCGGUGGAAUAGAAGCUUUGUGAGCAUCUGGUUCAGGGGAGACAGGUAGUGAGUGCUCCGUAAACAUUUGCUGACUCAGUGGAUGGCGCUCGCAGAUCUCUCUUCGGCUCAGUCCACACUUCGGAGUUCCCGAGCCACAUAUCCUGGUGCCUACGGCCUUCUCCUCACCAAUGCCCACGUGGAUGCUCCUUCCCUUCUUGCUUCUUUCUCCUCCCUUCAGAGCCUUGGGCCCCUCCUGCUCCCCUGUCUUGGUGAAGGUCGCUGCCAGCCAGGGGCCCAGAGAUGCGUCACGCUUGCCUCCUCCACAUGCCUCGUUCUGUCUGUUCUGCCCCCAAAUACAUCUUAAACCACCCACUUCUCUCCCUGCCCCACCGCACCUUUCGUAGUCAGGCCAUCAUUCCCCCCCUACACAACUCCAGCAGCUUCCAGACUCCUGUCCCCAUUAUGUAACCAGAGUGAUCGUUCAGAAACCAAACAUGAUCCUGUUUCCACCACCCCGUCACAGCCAGUCCACGGUGCCCAUUAUUAAAAGAGUGUUUGUAUGACAGAAUAGCACAAGAAACUGUGGAUGAAACUGAAAUUGCACAGAGACUCUCCAAAGUCAACAAGUACAUCUGUG